UCUCGCCAUGUGUGCAGCGAGGGUGGUGAAAAGCCUGAGAUACAAGAUGACAAGUGUGAGCACGAAGUAGAGUCGCGUUUAAUUAAUUCCCCUCUCUCCCUUGGGAGCCGCGCUUUGCUAGUAUGUGAUACAUUUUGAGUUGUAAUCGACGAAAUAACUCGCGAUUGCAGUAUUCCGUGGGAGCGCCUUUGAGUUUGUGGAAUCAAUGUGGGGCUGCCUGCCUCACAAGUAUAGGGUGAAAACCAUAAAUAUUGUCGAGUUGACCUAGAGAUUAAAAUUGUUGCAUGGCGUUACAUGCUAUGUAGGCUGCCACACUGUAGGCCUAAUAAAUGUGUGGAAGUACCACCGUACCUGCCCAUGAGCGUAGCUGAAAAACUGGACACCCAUAGUGGUCACUGAAUGGCACAAGCUUCAGCAUCACCCUUCUCCAAUAAUCACAUGAGACAAGAAAACACUGAAAGAUCCAAAAGAAGAGGAAUGGACAAUGAUCCUGUCAUUGUCAGAGGAUCCCAGGCUCCUCAUCCUGAGAAACAGCCCAGCCAAGCAGGCAGGAGUGUGCCCACCAAACCCCAGGCUUUUCAUUUGGAUCCAUUCUGUAACCCCGCCCUCUCACUCCAAGUCAUGCCUCCAAUCCAUGCAUGACAGUUUCCAACAUC
This is a long non-coding RNA of Sinocyclocheilus anshuiensis, 656 nucleotides long. RefSeq lists it as uncharacterized. Lineage: Eukaryota; Metazoa; Chordata; Actinopteri; Cypriniformes; Cyprinidae. The transcript has 3 exons. The record is from RefSeq and is a predicted model, not a curated record.